Molecule: ribosomal RNA, 253 nt
Filed under: uncultured bacterium
Lineage: Bacteria
Description: partial 16S ribosomal RNA
Rfam family: Bacterial small subunit ribosomal RNA
Source: RNAcentral
UACAGAGGGGGCAAGCGUUAUUCGGAAUUAUUGGGCGGAAAGGGCGCGUAGGCGGCUUGGCAAGUGGAUGGUGAAAUCCCUCGGCUUAACCGAGGAACUGCCAUCCAGACUGCUUUGCUUGAGGCCGGGAGAGGUGAGUGGAAUUCCCAGUGUAGCGGUGAAAUGCGUAGAUAUUGGGAGGAACACCAGUGGCGAAGGCGGCUCACUGGACCGGUUCUGACGCUGAUGCGCGAAAGCGUGGGGAGCAAACGGG